This 371-nucleotide ribosomal RNA is filed under the name uncultured bacterium. Its description in RNAcentral is "bacterial SSU rRNA". It matches the Rfam family "Bacterial small subunit ribosomal RNA", at positions 527 to 896 of the family's 1533-position model. The record is from RNAcentral.
AGAGGCCUCAAGCGUUAGGCGGAAUCACUGGGCUUAAAGCGUGUGUAGGCGGACGCCUAAGUGUCUUGUGAAAUCCCCCGGCUCACCCGGGGAACUGCUGGGCAUACUGGGCGUCUUGGGCCAACUAGGGGCAACUGGAACAAGCGGUGGAGCGGUGAAAUGCGUAGAUAUCGCUUGGAACGCCGAAGGUGAAAACAGGUUGCUGGGGUUGUGCCGACGCUGAGACACGAAAGCCAGGGGAGCAAACGGGAUUAGAUACCCCGGUAGUCCUGGCCCUAAACGAUGUCCACUAGAUUGCGGCGGGUUUGACCCCGUCGCGGUCGAAGCAAAAGUGUUAAGUGGACCGCCUGGGAAGUACGGUCGCAAGGCUA